This is a non-coding RNA of Meleagris gallopavo (turkey), 235 nucleotides long. The record is from RefSeq and is a predicted model, not a curated record. NCBI's taxonomy places the organism in Eukaryota, Metazoa, Chordata, Aves, Galliformes, Phasianidae.
UAAGGGAACUCAGGUUGGUUCAUGUGUGACCUCUCCAACAACCGCAGUUUGCCACUUUCAACUUCCUUUGGGAGGAGUGAGUGUAAUAAUAUGGUGGAAUGGGCUUGGACUUCUCCUAUAGCAUUGCAGUGGCAGAGGAGCUGGGAAGUAUCCGGUGUGGAGGUAUCCCUAUGGCUAUUGGGGUGCAAGCUGGUAUGGCCACUCCUGCGCUAACAAGAUUUGGUUCUGAUGAGUU